UUUUGGACUACUCAGAUGGUCCUCCUAAAAUCCAAGAGCCAAACAGAAAAACAAAUAGAAUUAAGAAAAUGACAACUGCAAACUGAGAACAAAAAUGCUCUGUAAAUAUCAAUACUUCAUUGAGAACCUCAAUGUGCUGAAGAGACAACAGUUAAUUCAACUUCUGUGAGGAAAGAUAAAUAAUAAAAACCUCCUUCACAAAUUAGAAGGCAGGAAGAGAGCCCGAGCACAUUGGAAUGGUAUCCCUGCUGACUUCAGUGGUCUUUGCAGAAGGUCUCCUCUCAUCUGAGCAAGGUCAGGGCUGCUGACUGCCACAGGAUGCAGAUGAGAGCCAGGUUCUCUUCUGUCUUUCUCCCCAGUGCUAAACCAGCAUCACACAAGUUCAUCUUCUAGUGCACAGCUUGUGGAAAUAUGUCACAUUUCUGUGGUGCAGCAGAGUGGGAGGCAGAAAAUCUGGAUCUUAUUACCAGUUUCGCCAUGGUCUUCCUAUGUGAACAUGGUAUGGAUUCUUCUGGGCAACCUGAAGCUUCUCUGUGCAGCAGAAAAAGUGGCCACAGCUGCUCAUGCUCAUGCUCAUACCACCCAGAUGUCCUGGGAUGUGGCUGCAUGGCAGCCCAGACCUGCUCUUCAACAGCUCCUCAG
RNAcentral lists this long non-coding RNA (642 nucleotides) under Cyanistes caeruleus (blue tit). Its description in RNAcentral is "lncRNA (ENSCCEG00000012055.1)". Lineage: Eukaryota; Metazoa; Chordata; Aves; Passeriformes; Paridae. The record is from RNAcentral.